CAGUCGCCACGGGAAUACAGAGGAUGCAAGCGUUAUCCGGAAUUACUGGGUGUAAAGGGAGCGUAGACGGUUAAACAAGUCUGAAGUGAAAUGCCGGGGCUCAACCCCGGAGCUGCUUUGGGAACUGUAGAACUGGAGUGUCGGAGGGGUAAGCGGAAUUCCCAGUGUAGCGGUGAAAUGCGUAGAUAUUGGGAGGAACACCGGCGGCGAAGGCGGCUCACUGGACGACAACUGACGUUGAGGCUCGAAGGCGUGGGGAGCAAACAGGAUUAGAUACCCCUGUAGUCCCUGUCUCUUAUAC
RNAcentral lists this ribosomal RNA (301 nucleotides) under uncultured bacterium. Its description in RNAcentral is "partial 16S ribosomal RNA". It matches the Rfam family "Bacterial small subunit ribosomal RNA", at positions 509 to 807 of the family's 1533-position model. The record is from RNAcentral.